RNAcentral lists this ribosomal RNA (492 nucleotides) under uncultured bacterium. RNAcentral describes it as "partial 16S ribosomal RNA". It matches the Rfam family "Bacterial small subunit ribosomal RNA", at positions 30 to 507 of the family's 1533-position model. The record is from RNAcentral.
AUUGAACGCUGGCGGCAUGCUUUACACAUGCAAGUCGAACGGUAACAGGCCUUCGGGUGCUGACGAGUGGCGAACGGGUGAGUAAUGCAUCGGAACGUGCCCAGAGGUGGGGGAUAACGCAGCGAAAGCUGUGCUAAUACCGCAUGUGAUCUGAGGAUGAAAGCGGGGGACCAGGCAGCAAUGUUUGGCCUCGCGCCUUUGGAGCGGCCGAUGGCAGAUUAGGUAGUUGGUGGGGUAAAGGCCUACCAAGCCGACGAUCUGUAGCUGGUCUGAGAGGACGACCAGCCACACUGGGACUGAGACACGGCCCAGACUCCUACGGGAGGCAGCAGUGGGGAAUUUUGGACAAUGGGCGCAAGCCUGAUCCAGCAAUGCCGCGUGCGGGAAGAAGGCCUUCGGGUUGUAAACCGCUUUUGUACGGAACGAAAAGGCUCUGGCUAAUACCUGGGGCUGAUGACGGUACCGUAAGAAUAAGCACCGGCUAACUACGUG